RNAcentral lists this long non-coding RNA (335 nucleotides) under Capsicum annuum. Its description in RNAcentral is "long non-coding RNA (CANN_LNC011336)". The record is from RNAcentral. Lineage: Eukaryota; Viridiplantae; Streptophyta; Magnoliopsida; Solanales; Solanaceae.
GGGAAUCGCCUCAUGACUUACUUGCUACCUAAGUCACGAAGAGAAAUGCCUACCUACUCCAAUCCAAAUUAUUAUGAGAGACAAAAGAUUGAGAGGAGUAAGGGAGUGCAAGGUGGUAAUCCGAGAGUGGAAAAAGGAGAGGUUGUGUGGAGCAAAGUGAGUAUUACCACCAAACCAUGCUAACAUUGGUUGCCUUCUAUUUCUAAGGAUAUUUGUGUAGGUACCAACAUGGCAAGCGAAGAAGAACAAUGCCAAAAGAAAGUUGCUGCCCAAACUUUUGGAGGACCUUCACACCAUGACAAAGAAGAAUCUACUCAAGGACUUCAAGGUAAAAU